GUACACAGAAACACUAUAUGAAGAACUGAGAAACAAGAAUGCUCCACUUAUUGCUGAAAACGAAGAGCUGAGUCACGAAAACAAGCUACUGGAGGAAGAACUGGCGAGACUUGAAAGUGAACCGUCAAAGCUUGAAGCAUUAGUGGAACAAAAGAGAACACUAGAGCUCGACAAGACUAAAUUCGACACCUACAUCACUGAUCUCGAGAAGCAUCGUCUCAAACUUGAGGAAAGAAAAAUUCAGAACGAAGAAGAAUUGAAUGAUCUCAAUCUGGAGUACACAGCAACAUCAAGAGAGAAAGAGCAGUUGGAGGUUUUGCACAGUUGAUCAAUAUUCUUAUCUUUUACUGUAUUGCAGGCUUUUAUCGUAUGAAUCAAGAAGGUUUUCGUUCUUUCGUUGGAAUUUUUAGAAAGUGCUUGCAAAGCAAGAC
Xenia sp. Carnegie-2017 is the source of this 431-nucleotide long non-coding RNA. RefSeq lists it as uncharacterized. The transcript has 6 exons. The record is from RefSeq and is a predicted model, not a curated record. Lineage: Eukaryota; Metazoa; Cnidaria; Anthozoa; Malacalcyonacea; Xeniidae.